UCAUUGGUGGUUCACUGGUAGAAUUCUUGCCUGCCACGCGGGAGACCAGGGUCCGAUUCCUGGCCAAUGCA
Non-coding RNA from Danio rerio (zebrafish), 71 nucleotides. The record is from Rfam. Lineage: Eukaryota; Metazoa; Chordata; Actinopteri; Cypriniformes; Danionidae.